Molecule: ribosomal RNA, 1369 nt
Filed under: uncultured bacterium
Lineage: Bacteria
Description: bacterial SSU rRNA
Rfam family: Bacterial small subunit ribosomal RNA
Source: RNAcentral
GACGAACGCUGGCGGCGUGCCUAAUACAUGCAAGUAGAACGCUGAAGAGAGGAGCUUGCUCUUCUUGGAUGAGUUGCGAACGGGUGAGUAACGCGUAGGUAACCUGCCUUGUAGCGGGGGAUAACUAUUGGAAACGAUAGCUAAUACCGCAUAACAAUGGAUGACACAUGUCAUUUAUUUGAAAGGGGCAAUUGCUCCACUACAAGAUGGACCUGCGUUGUAUUAGCUAGUAGGUGAGGUAACGGCUCACCUAGGCGACGAUACAUAGCCGACCUGAGAGGGUGAUCGGCCACACUGGGACUGAGACACGGCCCAGACUCCUACGGGAGGCAGCAGUAGGGAAUCUUCGGCAAUGGGGGCAACCCUGACCGAGCAACGCCGCGUGAGUGAAGAAGGUUUUCGGAUCGUAAAGCUCUGUUGUAAGUCAAGAACGAGUGUGAGAGUGGAAAGUUCACACUGUGACGGUAGCUUACCAGAAAGGGACGGCUAACUACGUGCCAGCAGCCGCGGUAAUACGUAGGUCCCGAGCGUUGUCCGGAUUUAUUGGGCGUAAAGCGAGCGCAGGCGGUUUGAUAAGUCUGAAGUUAAAGGCUGUGGCUCAACCAUAGUUCGCCUUGGAAACUGUCAAACUUGAGUGCAGAAGGGGAGAGUGGAAUUCCAUGUGUAGCGGUGAAAUGCGUAGAUAUAUGGAGGAACACCGGUGGCGAAAGCGGCUCUCUGGUCUGUAACUGACGCUGAGGCUCGAAAGCGUGGGGAGCGAACAGGAUUAGAUACCCUGGUAGUCCACGCCGUAAACGAUGAGUGCUAGGUGUUGGAUCCUUUCCGGGAUUCAGUGCCGCAGCUAACGCAUUAAGCACUUCGCCUGGGGAGUACGACCGCAAGGUUGAAACUCAAAGGAAUUGACGGGGGCCCGCACAAGCGGUGGAGCAUGUGGUUUAAUUCGAAGCAACGCGAAGAACCUUACCAGGUCUUGACAUCCCGAUGCUAUUUCUAGAGAUAGAAAGUUACUUCGGUACAUCGGUGACAGGUGGUGCAUGGUUGUCGUCAGCUCGUGUCGUGAGAUGUUGGGUUAAGUCCCGCAACGAGCGCAACCCCUAUUGUUAGUUGCCAUCAUUCAGUUGGGCACUCUAGCGAGACUGCCGGUAAUAAACCGGAGGAAGGUGGGGAUGACGUCAAAUCAUCAUGCCCCUUAUGACCUGGGCUACACACGUGCUACAAUGGUUGGUACAACGAGUUGCGAGUCGGUGACGGCAAGCUAAUCUCUUAAAGCCAAUCUCAGUUCGGAUUGUAGGCUGCAACUCGCCUACAUGAAGUCGGAAUCGCUAGUAAUCGCGGAUCAGCACGCCGCGGUGAAUACGUUCCCGGGCCU